RNAcentral lists this long non-coding RNA (1145 nucleotides) under Homo sapiens (human). Its description in RNAcentral is "HSALNT0373992". The record is from RNAcentral. Lineage: Eukaryota; Metazoa; Chordata; Mammalia; Primates; Hominidae.
CAGCUGCGUAGAAGUGCCAUCUGUUUUCACUUUGCUGUAGACUAAUUAUACUGGACUCUCUUCUGGACCUCCUUCUCAACUGUAGACAUCCUAACACGUGGACUGCUUCUGAAUCCUUCCACGAGGGAAACAACGUCCAGGCUGAUCAAUUUGGAGAAUCAUUUUCAUCUUUGUGUCCUUAGUACCUACCAUGGUUCUUCGCACCUAAUGGAAUUUCAGUCCUGUGCCAUGGAAGCCUUGAAUUCCAGUGCCCGUUACUUCUUCUGCUGCCAGUGGCUCCCAUUUGUGUUCUCUCCUGUGGCAUCGGAUUCGAUGCAGAAAUGGGAUACCUGUGUACUCAUCAGCUCCUAUUCCUCCAGCUCAACCAAAGUUCUUUUAACAGUAAAAACCAAUAUGCAAAGAAGAGGAGGAAGAGAUGGAACCAUCAAGCCCUUCUGGGCUCAGAAUAUGUGUGUGUGAGCGCACAUACACAGGUGCAUGCAGCUUUGCAAUAUAAGAUUAAACUGUACAAUGUUCUAUAAUCUCCAUUUUUCCAUUCACUAUAUUAUGAACAUCUUCCAAAUCACCAUAUAGUUUUGUAUAACACACAUUUUGAUGACUGAACAGUAAUGUAUUCUCCACAAUUUGUAUUACCAAAUCUUUACUGAUGGACACAAGUUAUUUAGAGUUUUGAUCAUUAAAAACAUAGCUUUAAUAAACAUUCAUAUAUCUUUGCACCCUUUUCUAAUUAUUCCUUAGGACAGGUUUCUAGAAGGCUAUUUCUGUCACAAAUAUGUUCAUUUUAUAGAUUUUAAAGUAAAUUUCAGAAACACAAGGACAUGAACAGACAUUUCUCAAAAGAAUAAAAACAAGUGGCCAAGAAAUACAUGAAAAAAUGCUCAGCAUUACUAAUCACCAGAUAAGUGCAAAUUUAAACCAUAGUGAGACACCAUGUUACACCAGUCAGAAUAACUAUUAUUAAAAAGUGAAAAGACAACAGGUGUUGGUGAGGAUGCAGAGAAAAGGGAACACUUAUACACUGUUAGUAGGAAUGUAAAUUAGUUCAACCUCUAUGGAAAACAGCACGGAGAUUUCUCAAAGAAAUAAAAAUAGAACUGCCAUUCAACCGAGCAAUCCCAUUACUGGUUAUCUACCCAAAGAAAAAG